Molecule: ribosomal RNA, 251 nt
Filed under: uncultured prokaryote
Description: partial 16S rRNA
Rfam family: Bacterial small subunit ribosomal RNA
Source: RNAcentral
ACGGGGGGUGCAAGCGUUGUUCGGAAUUAUUGGGCGUAAAGAGCGUGUAGGCGGCUGGAUGUGUCAGAUGUGAAAGCCCUGGGCUUAACCCAGGAAGUGCAUUUGAAACUGUCCGGCUUGAGUAGGGGAGAGGGAAGUGGAAUUCCUGGUGUAGAGGUGGAAGUCGUAGAUAUCAGGCGGAACGCCGGUGGCGAAUGCGACUUACUGGCCGUAUACUGAUGCUGAGACGCGAGAGUGUGGGUAGCAAACAG